This 28-nucleotide small RNA is filed under the name Bombyx mori (domestic silkworm). RNAcentral's name for it is "ovarian small RNA-9036". The record is from RNAcentral. Lineage: Eukaryota; Metazoa; Arthropoda; Insecta; Lepidoptera; Bombycidae.
UGUCGUGAAGUAGAUUCGAUAUUGCUGC